CCUGCAGGGGGUACGGGCAGACUAGAGUGCGGUAGGGGAGAUUGGAAUUCCNNNGUGUAGCGGUGGAAUGCGCAGAUAUCAGGAGGAACACCGAUGGCGAAGGCAGAUCUCUGGNNNNNNNACUGACGCUGAGGAGCGAAAGGGUGGGGAGCAAACAGGCUUAGAUACCCUGGUAGUCCACCCCGUAAACGUUGGGAACUAGUUGUGGGGUCCAUUCCACGGAUUCCGUGACGCAGCUAACGCAUUAAGUUCCCCGCCUGGGGAGUACGGCCGCAAGGCUAAAACUCAAAGGAAUUGACGGGGACCCGCACAAGCGGCGGAGCAUGCGGAUUAAUUCGAUGCAACGCGAAGAACCUUACCAAGGCUUGACAUAUACGAGAACGGGCCAGAAAUGGUCAACUCUUUGGACACUCGUAAACAGGUGGUGCAUGGUUGUCGUCAGCUCGUGUCGUGAGAUGUUGGGUUAAGUCCCGCAACGAGCGCAACCCUCGUUCUAUGUUGCCAGCACGUAAUGGUGGGAACUCAUGGGAUACUGCCGGGGUCAACUCGGAGGAAG
This 556-nucleotide ribosomal RNA is filed under the name uncultured bacterium. Its description in RNAcentral is "bacterial SSU rRNA". It matches the Rfam family "Bacterial small subunit ribosomal RNA", at positions 620 to 1172 of the family's 1533-position model. The record is from RNAcentral.